CAGACCGAUAACGACAACACUGUCAUCGGUGAGCAGGUGGAGGAGGCCCGGCAACAUGUGUCACCUUGAACUGUUGUCAGAUGAUGCGAUUCUCCCAGUGGAGCCCUAAAGGUUAAAGAGGUUUCCCAGAGACUAUGGGUUGAGGAGGAAUUGGAAGUUUGUCGGCUUAGACCUGGUGUCAUUCCAUCAGUGUUAAACUUCCCGGCUCAUCUUGGAAGAGUACAUGCCAGAAAGAUCACGACCAAGCAGCCUUGAGAUCUUAGACAGCGUCUCCCUCAGGUUCCUCUCUAUCUCCCCACACAUCCACCAACCACUGGAACACAUCUCCAAAGUUCUGCUGGACCAGCUCAGCUUCCCCUCAGAAGAAGUGCCGCCACCUGCCAGAUGAAGGAGCCUUUUGAGAGGGAGCUGCCAUCGUGAUUGGACUGUACUUUGGUCUGUUCCAAUCCAGCUUCAGCUCCAGCGACGGCAGGCGGGACGAGUCAACGGAGGCCGGGUGGAUGAAGACAUGCAGCUGAGUACAAUCCAGAAAACAACAGAGGAGGAGUGCAGUGGCCCAGGGCCAGAACAGAGUAGCAUCAUAUGUCUCUUAGAAAACAUCAUAGUAUAGCCUUUGCUAUGAAAAAACACCAUCAUAUACAUCGUAUAUUGUACAAAUAACAAGUCAAAGGAAAGAGACGUACAUUGUAGAAUUGUAGUAAUUGUGGGCUGACUGAUUUACUGAUUAUCAGUAUUUUAUUUUUUACUGAUUUAUGGUAAUAAAUACAUUUAAAAAUGG
Amphiprion ocellaris (clown anemonefish) is the source of this 778-nucleotide long non-coding RNA. RefSeq lists it as uncharacterized. The transcript has 3 exons. Lineage: Eukaryota; Metazoa; Chordata; Actinopteri; Pomacentridae. The record is from RefSeq and is a predicted model, not a curated record.